GUGUCCCCUGUACUCUGCGCACGCGGGGACCCACACCGGCUGCCACCUGCGGGACCUGUCGGCCCUGGGCUUCUGCAACUACUUUCUGCUGAACGGAACCAGCCCCGGGGCCGCCAUCCAGUUCAUGGAUUCCAUCUGGAACACGAAGCAAAUAGAGCGACUGAACCCGCCGGACAACGUCACCGUGCACUGCAACGCGUCGCACUGCCGCGCGAGGUGGAUGAGGCCGCGGACCUGGACCGUCCUGUCCUCCAUGGACUUCCUGUACGAAGUGGACGUGCAGAGAUGGCGCGCUGACCUCGGCAGCGGGACCCCUCUGGCUCUGACGCCCAGGACGCCCCAACCCUGCGCCUGUACGUCCUGGUGGUGCUGCUCACCCUCGUGUGCACCCUGCUCCUGGGCUUUCUCUUCACAAGGUAACCCCACACGCAGCCCGUCUGCCGCUGUGGCACCUGGGAGGGGCCUUUCUGACGGCGGGCUUCAUAAAGGAGCUGCGUCUCGCGGCGGACGUGACGUGACCACACCUGGUUCUGUCUCCUCUCUGACCCUUGGUAUGAGUGCGAAAGUGUUUCACAAUCCGAGGUGUCACUGUAUAUUACAUAGGCACCAUGUAUAGACCGUGGUGGAGUACUAUGAUGCUGUGAAAAAGGAUGGAGCCGUACUCUCUGUGAAAGGAAAACAGGCAGAGAAAAGGCAGCGCAUGUAGAAAAGGGCACCGUGCAGCCGUGAAAAAGGCCCAGGCCCUGCCAUUUACCACAGAUGCCGGCGGGAUUAAGAAAAGGCAGUGUGCGUGUGUUUGCCGGAACUCUACACAACCACAGUGAAGGCUGAGACCACGUCAUUUUCAAGGGAAUGGACGGAAACCGAGGUCGCCCUGUUAAACGUCAUGGAGAGGCUCGGGCACGAGCAUUCCACGUUUCCCAUAAUGCGUGCAGCGUGGAACGCGUCCCCCGGGUGGGGCUGGGAGACUCGUCCCAGACCAGAGCGGGGACAGGGAGGCCCUGAAGAGGAGGAGGUGACUGGAAAACGUCAGAUGCUGUGUGUCAGGCUGAGGACACGGCCCGGGGUCCCAGCCACCUUCAGCUGAACCUUUGUCCCCAGGUUUAUUUGGAUCCACGGUCUGUGCCCCCCCGGGCCCAAGAUCAAAAUGAUGGAUGUGGAUAAAGUGAAUCAAGAGGUAGAGUGGACGCGUGGGGCAGGGUGGGGACAGGGAUGGCCAGCAUCACCGCCGUCCACCCCGGGACAUCUGCAUCCUCUGGGGUCGGGUUGGGGGCUCAACUGUGAGCACACUUGGGGAAGUGGAGGAGAAGAGAGACAGAGACAGGGUGAUGCAGGGAGACAGAGAUUAUGAGACACGGAAAGAUGGGCAGAGAGCGAUGUGGUGGCAGACCUCGGGACCUUUGCACAUGCUGUGUCCCGCCAGUCCUCCGCACGACCCCUUGCUCAGCCGCUCGUGCCCCAGGACCCCGUCAGGGACGCACUGACGCCACUGUCCUCCCCCCGUCAGGUGCCCUGGGAGGACAACGCCCCGAGUGUUGAGAAAGGAGAGCAAGAGGAGGUGCUGACAGUGGAGGAGGUGUCGUGAGCCUGGCACAACCGGCGGCGGCGGCGGCGAGGAGCUUCCGUCUGCGCCACACACACUGCGGCGGGGGCGGGGCUUCGGGGCUUCGGUGUUCGCAGCGUUUGUGUUUUUUUUUAAAUAUUCUUUCGCAAAUGUGCCCGUGGCCUCCUGGACCCUGCUGUCGCCACAGCCCCGUCCUCUCUGGUUGUUUUUCUCUUUCUGCCUUGGAGCAGGGGCCUUGGACCGAGCGCCCGCAAACCCUGCUCCCCGAUCAACCCUCUGUCCUCACUGGUCGCCUUUCGUUGUUUUGUCUCCGUGACACCCGGCCGCCCGUCGUGUGUUCCGUGGCCGCUCAGGGAGGACCACAGGCGACCAGGGGUGCGGUGCCUGCCCUGUCGGCCUCCACCAACCAGAUGAUGUGGACGCACGGGGCCGGGGACGUUGUUUACUCAACCGCGCCGCAGAAGGGGCCGCGUCGUGCGGGCCGGGCAGCUGCAGGAGGGGACGGGGUCGAGGACAAAGCCCGUGUCGCUCGGCGAGGAGUCACAGGAAUGCACG
This 2119-nucleotide long non-coding RNA is filed under the name Fukomys damarensis (Damara mole-rat). Its description in RNAcentral is "lncRNA (ENSFDAG00000031525.1)". Lineage: Eukaryota; Metazoa; Chordata; Mammalia; Rodentia; Bathyergidae. The record is from RNAcentral.